This 464-nucleotide ribosomal RNA is filed under the name uncultured bacterium. RNAcentral's name for it is "partial 16S ribosomal RNA". It matches the Rfam family "Bacterial small subunit ribosomal RNA", at positions 339 to 795 of the family's 1533-position model. The record is from RNAcentral.
CUACGGGGCGCAGCAGUGGGGAAUAUUGCACAAUGGGCGCAAGCCUGAUGCAGCCAUGCCGCGUGUAUGAAGAAGGCCUUCGGGUUGUAAAGUACUUUCAGCGGGGAGGAAGGGAGUAAAGUUAAUACCUUUGCUCAUUGACGUUACCCGCAGAAGAAGCACCGGCCAACUCCGUGCCAGCAGCCGCGGUAAUACGGAGGGUGCAAGCGUUAAUCGGAAUUACUGGGCGUAAAGCGCACGCAGGCGGUUUGUUAAGUCAGAUGUGAAAUCCCCGGGCUCAACCUGGGAACUGCAUCUGAUACUGGCAAGCUUGAGUCUCGUAGAGGGGGGUAGAAUUCCAGGUGUAGCGGUGAAGUGCGUAGAGAUCUGGAGGAGUACCGGUGGCGAAGGCGGCCCCCUGGACGAAGACUGACGCUCAGGUGCGAAAGCGUGGGGAGCAAACAGGAUUAGAUACCCUCGUAGUC